CAUAAUCGAACCGUAGACACUGAUUAUUGCAUCAUUUUCAUAAGAGACAUGCAUCUUAACUUGCAUAAUUUCUGGUAUCGCUGCAGAGUUAGCUCAGGAAAGAAUCUGGGCCCAAAUGUAUGCAUGCCUUGGCGCUCAGAAAGAAGCAGUUGUGGCUGGGGAUAGAUUUUCCUCCACUGGAUGCUUUUAGGUAGAGCCUGCAUCCUUGUCUGUGAUGAGUAAUUGAUUCUCACUUACCCAGCACCUCCAAAUCAAUUUUUUACCUCCUUUUUCACUCCCAUUCACCACCAUCUUUUCUCCAGCUCUCGAGUUGCUCCCUCUGAGUCCCUUUGGCCUGGUGCGUGGAGCCAGGAGCUGGACUCAAUGACUCUUGUGGGUCUCUUCCUACUUGUGAUAAUCUAUGGUUCUCUGAUUUUGUCUCUGUGAAGGCUGCUGUUUGAGCUGCUUGUUACUGAGGGAGCUAGGGCAGCAUGGCUGUCUCUUAAAUGCUUACAGUUUGGUGAGAUGGAUCUUAUCUUGGAAAAGAUGAUGGCAGAGACUUGCUUCAUUUUGUGUCCCUUCUCUUUGUGCUUCUGAGUUAGGUAAGUUGGACAUCUCGCUUGCGAGAGGGGUCUUUGAGCCUCUCAUGUCUGCUGUUCAUAGUCAGCCUUAAAUGCCUGCCCUUUUUCAGCAGGCAUCUUCAGGGGGUGACAACUCCGGAAGAGCAGUUACAUAUCUGUUGUGUCUGCUGCUCUGUAGUGGCUGCCACCAUGGAUGUCCCCAGGCUAGUUAUCCUGAGCUGGUGGGAUUUGCACACUCAGAGUGGCUUUGGUUGGUUCAUUUUAGUUUUGUCUUCUGUGCAUCCCUUGUUCUUCUGGCACCAGGUCUUAGCCCAAAAGAUAUUACUGUUUUCAGACCUUUUGUUAAAUAUAAUGGCAACCAGUAGCGGUAUGUUUUUCUUUGAUGUCAUAAUAAUGCCAAAAUAGAAGUAGGUUUUGGUUCUACCCCUUGUUUGCAGUAUGGCCUUAUGGUGGGACCCUGAGUGGCCUGGGGCUUUGAAGUGGAUCUGCCCGUACAUUCUCCUUUUGUAUCAGUGCAUUCAUUUUUGUUUGUUUGCUUCUUUUUGCACAUGAUGCAUGACGUGAGCUCUGAUUUUGAUUACGCCAUUUCAAAACCCGUGGACUCAUUUCCUUGAGGAUGCCCAGAGUUCACCGUUCCCAAGAAUCCUUCUUCUCACCUCGUCUUUCAGGCUCUUUCCAGAAUGGUGAACUUCAGAACAUUUUUCUCCUGAAAAUGCUGCAUUUGAGCUCAGAUAACUAACGUGAAGUGCUAUUAUUGGAGAAAGCUGGCAAGCCUGCCUAGCAGGGAAGUAAGGAGGAGAAUCCGUGCGCAGGGAAAGAACAAUACAUUUUCUCUUCAUGUGAAGUGAUUUUUUCAGCCCAGGACUAUAGUGACAGACUAAUAAUAGAACACAGUUAUGAAAUGUAUCACCUGUUUCCAGAAGAUUCUGGGAAAGUUACCGUCUAACUUCAGAAGAUGCCUGUUGUCCUGACGGAUCCCAGCCCCUGGUUACUUACCCACCAUGACUCUCUUUUAAACUUUAUAAGCUCAAAAGAAUGAAAUACAAACUUUGGGCAAAGUCAGAAGACCUGUCAGCAUGUCCUCCCUCCCCUAGUCCUACAUCCUAUGGAGAACUCUCACCUUGCCCAGCGUUACAUAUCAUGAACUGUGAUGCGGGAGUGGCUCAGGCCCCAGCCCACGCUCUUCUCUGUGCGUUUGAGAUAGCAGCAGCAACACGUUGGUAUCCACAUCCACGCAUGAGCUCUCUGCUGGGAGGAUGCAGGCCGGACAAAGGCUGCAUGCACAGAGCGAGGUCGGCACAGGCCUCCCAUCCUGGGAAUGCAAUCCAGGUAAGAGAUGCUGGACAUCCUCCGCUGCCUCCCAGCUGGGCACCCGUGUGCUGCUGAGGGACACGGGCACCCCGGGGCAGCUGUAAUUUUACCCGGAGCUGCUCAGGACUGGCGCUAAGAGCCGUGUGAGUGGCGUCCUGCUGUAAUCCUUUCAGCCUCUUGCACUGUGCCGAUUUCUGCAAGGGAGGGAGCUGGCUCACUGGUUCUGCAUCUUCUAGAAGAAAAAACAGAGAGAAAAAAAUCUUUUUUUUUUUUUUUUUCAAUCCUUGCUUUUCUACCUCUUCGAUGCCUACUGUAUUGUGUAGCAGUGCAUUUUGCAUUUUCUCUUUUUC
This is a long non-coding RNA of Gallus gallus (chicken), 2221 nucleotides long. Lineage: Eukaryota; Metazoa; Chordata; Aves; Galliformes; Phasianidae. The record is from Ensembl.